Molecule: ribosomal RNA, 292 nt
Filed under: uncultured bacterium
Lineage: Bacteria
Description: partial 16S ribosomal RNA
Rfam family: Bacterial small subunit ribosomal RNA
Source: RNAcentral
GUGUCAGCAGCCGCGGUAAUACGAAGGGGGCUAGCGUUGUUCGGAAUUACUGGGCGUAAAGCGUAUGCAGGCGGAUCAUUAAGUCGGGGGUGAAAUCCCGAGGCUCAACCUCGGAACUGCCUUCGAUACUGAUGAUCUUGAGUCCGGGAGAGGUGAGUGGAACUGCGAGUGUAGAGGUGAAAUUCGUAGAUAUUCGCAAGAACACCAGUGGCGAAGGCGGCUCACUGGCCCGGUACUGACGCUGAGAUACGAAAGCGUGGGGAGCAAACAGGAUUAGAUACCCUCGUAGUCC